AGAGUUUGAUCCUGGCUCAGAAUCAACGCUGGCGGCGUGCCUAACACAUGCAAGUCGCACGAGAAAAUAGACUUCGGUCUGUGAGUAAAGUGGCGUACGGGUGAGUAACACGUGACUAACCUACCUCGAGUGGGGAAUAACUCGUCGAAAGGCGAGCUAAUACCGCAUAACACCUGCGGGUCAAAGCAGAAAUGCGCUUG
This 200-nucleotide ribosomal RNA is filed under the name uncultured bacterium. Its description in RNAcentral is "partial 16S ribosomal RNA". It matches the Rfam family "Bacterial small subunit ribosomal RNA", at positions 8 to 221 of the family's 1533-position model. The record is from RNAcentral.